This 45-nucleotide non-coding RNA is filed under the name Schistosoma mattheei. Lineage: Eukaryota; Metazoa; Platyhelminthes; Trematoda; Strigeidida; Schistosomatidae. The record is from RNAcentral.
AUCCGGCUGACGGAUCCCGAAUAGGACGAAACGCGCGUCCUGGAU